Molecule: long non-coding RNA, 1174 nt
Organism: Callithrix jacchus (white-tufted-ear marmoset)
Lineage: Eukaryota; Metazoa; Chordata; Mammalia; Primates; Cebidae
Source: RefSeq, a predicted model, not a curated record
GCUGCUAAACUGGCAUCAAAAAGUUAACUCUGAGGCAGGAACCACGAUGUGUUAACUGCUGGCCUCGAGGGCGACUUGAUUUAUCUUCGGGCUUAUUUAAAAAGCGGUGAUUAUUGCCUGUUUCUGAUCCUGAAGCUUAGCGUCUAAUAGAGGAACCAGUGAAACCAAGGGCUGGAAUUCUCCUUUGGUGAACAACAGCGACAACAAACCCUUUUACUGCUCGCCCCCACCUCCCCAAAAGCCAGCGGCCCGGAAAUGGAGCACGCUUUCAUGGUGCACACUUCAGGAAGGUCCACGCGUGGCUCAAGGAACGCUGUCCGGUCUGAGAGGCAAAUUGAGGUCUACCUGACAUCUGUAAUACAGUCUGCCUGGACACACUGACAUCUUUGCUUUCUGAAAGCCACCAUCGCCUCUGUCUAUUUAAUAAUUCCUAGAGUUCGCCAUCUGGAACAAAGUACAGAGAAUUCACUGGUCGUCCCAAGGCCACCCACUGGGUAAAAUGCAUCGCCUGGAUUUCAGCCAUUCAAUGCCCACAUCAAUAUUCCCAACAUCAGGCAUCAUCUACCAGCUGAAUUUGAGGGAUACGGAGAAGGGUGUUGUGAGCUACAUAAAUACAGCACUGUCCACUAGCAAACUCGGUGGUAUUUGUCGAUAUGUACGAUGCCUUGCCCCGGUUAACAUUCCUGUUUUGUACAUGAGGAAAUGGAGAUUUACAGGAGUCAGAGAGAUCUGAGACUGAGUUCCUGCUUUUUCGCUCACCGGCUGCACAGGUCUUAGCAAAUCACGUAAUUGUUUGGAGGUUCAGCUGUCCUCAUCAGCAACAUGGGGACAAUAUCUGAGCUCAGAGGGUGGGUGUGGGGUAAAUACAAGUACAGAGCUUGGCUCCUCUUUCUAUGGGCAGAACAUCCUGCACCACGCAUGUAACACUGGCCACCGCGCUGACUCUCCUGAAUGGGCUGCCAUCAGGGAUCUACGUAAAUACCCUGCCACGUGGCAACGCCCCUGGACUGUGCACUUGGGUGGGAAAUUUCCAGCAAGGGUUUCUGAGCAUCUAGUAUGUACCUGGACUCGUGCUUGGGCAUGGAGGCCCAGAGGCGGAUCUGACAUGCUCAUUCUGCAUAAACUCAGAGUGUGGUGGGGAACAGAGACAAGUAAACAGAAAUUAGAUGACAGA